CCCAGAUGAUGCAACAAAUUUUUAAAGCUCAGGCAUUCUUUGGAAUGCACUCCAAGGGCUAGGACUAUUGCUCUCAUUGCAUUACAAGGAAGUGUACCUAUGAAUCAGCCUUUGAAAUCACAUCACAUGUGGAACCAUCUCCAUCACUGAUUUGUAAAGUCAACUGUGGUCCUUGCCCUGCUAUACUAUCAUUAUUAUCAUUCAAGCCCAUCUGACAUUUUCUUCAUUAUUGUGCAUUUAUUGAGUGCCAGUGGGAUGCUACACCAAAGAAGCUGCUAAAAGUUGGAACCAAAGAAAUCUGCAGACUCUGUGUAUUUACCCAGGGAUCGCUUUCCUGAGGGUGAACUGUAACCAGCUUCUUUGCAGAAUGGAGCCAUCAUCGGGUGCCAGUAGCACUACAGUACAACGUUUAAAGGGGGAAAUGAAGGCUAGCUCCUCCGAAGGAAACUACAGGGGAAUUUUAGAGCAGCAGAAUGCAAUUAUCCAAGUUGGAAUUGUUCCAGGACACCAAAAGAGAACUCUAAAGAACCCAGCGCAUACCUGACAUAUGGAAGAUGCUCAAAAUAGUUCUUAUAAUAGAAGGGAGGGUGGGAGAGAAGAAGAAAGGGAGGGAGAAAGGAAGUACAGAAAAUCUUUAUUGCUUCUUAACUUCAUGACCAAUUGACUCUUUGAUGUAUAGUAAAGGACAGAUAUGAUAUAGUCAUUAAUUUCCAUCCUUACAAUAUCUUUGGGCAGCUCUAAAAUGAAAAACUAAAAGUAUAGAGACCAGUAUAGUCAUCUUCAAGAUUUUUGCCCCACACACAUUGCAAAUAUCUUCAUCUAUGAGAGACAGAAAGAGAGAGAGAGAGAAAGAGAAAAGAUUAAGAAAAGGAAAAAAAAAAAAGAUGACAUGAUUCUCAUGGGGAGGAAACAGGCAAAAGGAAUCCAUUUGGAAUGUAAAUUGGUGCGUAUAAUAUGCCUUGGGUUCUUUGGCCGAGAGGUGACAUGUAAAGUAAAUGCUUCAGCAAAAUUAUUUAAUAAUAGAAGUACUGUAUUUCUUCUACUCUGCACAAUUUACAGUAGAAUCAAAGGACUAUGCUUUUGCACAGCCCUUACAGGAAAAGUAAGACAUGGGCAAACAGAAAUAAAUUAAGUAUCUGCCAUUGAUUGUCAUGGAUAGCACCAGCUUAUUGAGUUCAUACUUUAUUAGUGUGCUAUAGCUUGGAUGAUGAUGGUCUUUUUAUUGUUUUUGUGGUAACUCUUUAUUUUAAGUAUCUUAUCAUUAUGAAUUCAUUUAGUAUUGAUUGCAAUAGCACUGAUCAUAAAGAAUUAAUUUGGCAUUACCAUGAAUGUCAUAUGCACUUAUAUAAGAGUUCGGCUGUAAUUCAAAAUUAAUUAAUAUGGUGAAGUAUUAUUGCUUUUGCAAUUUUGCAGUCUUUUUAAAUGUAGCUAAGGUAUUUUUCCCAGCAGGUAGAACCUAGCAGAAAAUCUACCCAAGGCAUUCUCCUUUGGAGGGCAAUUUCAUUUAGCAAUAAAUGGGAAAUCUACCUUAAAAAAAAAAUUCUUCAUGUUUUAAAACAUUUGAAAUUCCAGUCCCAGAAUUCAGAGUUAUCAAAAGACGAAAACCUUGAGUCGUAGAAAAAUGAUCAUGUCUGCUAGGUGUUCCUACUUGCUUGGCAAAGCCAGGGUGAGCAGCAUAACUGAGAGUUUACCUCUCUUCUCUAUCUUCUGUCUCUCACCAAGGAUGAUUUGUCCCUGUCAGAGUGAGGAGCCCCCAGCAAAGGAACUCCAUUUACUUAUAAUGAUAUUGAAUUACCAGAAGGUACAAUUCAGGACACGCUUCUAGCAAGCUGAGAUUGUUGAAUGUAGGUAUUCGUAAGAAUCCGGUGAGGUUCAGGGUCCAAAUUACAUGGCACGUGUCUGGAAUGCCUGUCUGUGGCCUCCAGUUGAAAUCCACUCCACUGCCUUCUGCUGCUCCCGCUGCUGCUCUGAACACAGUUAUGGUGGCAUGUGUAGACCUAUCAGGAUAUCACACUGCAGGUGGCUGACCCGACAUAUAUGUGGACUAGGCUGUCACUAACGGACUGCUACUACGAUACACCAAUGUCUUAAAAUACUCUCCUCCCUCCACCCCUCAGUGUUGAGAAAAUCUUUGCCUCUCAUUGUCCCUAUUAAAACACAAAUAUCAUUUAGAUCCAAUAGAAUAAUCCAUCUACCAGGGAUCCAUCAUUAGGCAAUCCAACACGUAGAAUCACUCCAAUUGAAUAAAAUAUUGGAGUUUUAAUGGAGAGGUGGGCUCUAAGGAACAAUCUGGAGCAUGGGAGACUGCCAAGAGAUGGACCCAUGUGGAAUGCCACUUUGGUAGGCACUAGAAUGCCACGGACCAUAGAAGUUACUGAGAAGAGGCAGAGGAGUGCAUAUAACUGAAAUGGAAUCUUGAAGACAAAUUUUGGCCAAGGACAGUUCAAGAUCAGCCAAAAAAGCAAGCACAAACCAGCCAGGGUGGCUUAGCCCAGGUGGAGUCAGGCUAGAGCAGCUGGGUGUUAGCAAACCCAUAGAGCCCUGGCAACGGCUGACAGCUCCCUGUUCUGGGUGGAGAUGCUAACCAAAACUGAAAUCAGAAUACAAAGUAGAAGGUCAGCAGCAAAAAUUGAUCUGGAGAAGGGCCCCAUGCCCCUAGUAACUUAGUUAACAUCUAGUCUGGCAGGAAGGGCCCUGGUCAGAGCCCAGAGCCAGGGCAGCAGAUAUGGGCAAGGCAGGACCAUCCAAAACUCAUGAUGCUUGUGGUGUGCCCAAAAGGAGGGAAGCUGUUACAAAGUGGGCUGAGGAUGCUGAUAUAAAGAGACCAGCCCAGAGUGAUCAGGGAUUUCUGGGAUAUUACUACAAAAUUUUUCUUAGGAUUUCUAAAUCUGCUUUACUAAAAACACUUUUAGUGAUACUAAAAAUUAGUUUUCUCUUGUCAAAUAUAUAGCACUUGUGGCCCCGUGGCCGAGUGGUUGAGUUCACGCGCUCCGCUGCAGGCAGCCCAGUGUUUUGUUGGUUUCGAAUCCUGGGCCCGGACAUGGCACUUCUCAUCAAGCCACGCUGGGGCAGCGUCCCACAUGCCACAACUAGAAGGACCCACAACGAGGAAUAUACAACUAUGUACUGGGGGGGGGGCUUUUGGGAGAAAAAGGAAAAAAUAAAAUCUUUAAAAAAAAUAUAUAUAUAUAUAUAUAUAUAAGCACUUGUAGCUUUCAAAGGGUCCCCGCAAGGAAACCCAAGCUCAGAGUGAAAGCCAGUUGCAAAUAGCUCCUCCAGGCUGCCAUCCCUCCCUGUCUAGCUCUCCCUUCUUCUAACUUCCACUGUGCUUUCUCUUGGGGAAAUCAUUAGAAAGAGGCCACGCCUUUCACAGGCCAAAACCUUUCUUAGAGUCAUGCAGAAAUGUUAUUAUCACCUUUGUCUUAGGUAGCAAACAGCAGAAGUUUUUUAGCUGGUAUAAACAGACAAAGAUUGCUCUAAUCCUUCUGUCUGAUACCAAAAAAGUAUAUAAAAGUCUAUUCCUCUUUCUAAUUAUUGAUAUUUUCUGUGUCAGUUAAUAACACACUGCAAAUCAAAUAAUACGGAGGCCAAGAGAAAAUUCUGAAGUCCAGAAUUUGCCCGUCCCACCAGAUUAGUUAAAAAUUUUAGGAAAAGGGAAGACUGAAGUGAACUCAAGUAAUUUGGUUCUUAAUACCUUAAAUGAGCACGUCCUUUGAUUAUGGGUGUUUGAAGGUGUCUUCAGUGGCAGUGAUGCUCUCCUUGCUGAAGAGCACAAAGUUCAGCACUUCAAAGCGCCUCUGCGAACAUAUGCGUUCAUCCUUAAAAAUUAGCAGAGGAUGUCGUGGAGGUUUUAAUAGCCACAAAUGUCUCUUAGCAUUUCCCUCCCUUAGGAAGACAAUAUCAGAGGGCUGGCAUCAAUUCCUUAAAAUCAUACUGGCAAAAGAUAAACAAAGCCCAAGAUAUAGAAAUAUAUUUUACACUAAAAAAAAAAAAGGGAAAAAAAACACACUGAAACCCAAUCCUCAUAUUUCUUGGCUCAGAGUAGCAGGCUGACUAGUUACCCAAAAUGAGCUUACUGCAAAAAUCACUCUGUUCUCACCACAGGCACAAUUUACCAACUGGGUGCAGCAGACACUGGGUUGGCUCCUGAACUUCUCUCCUCCAAUUAAGCUGCACAACCUGUUACCAUUUUGCCAAUGGACUCUAUUUACUUAGGUUCUGCGUAACUUGCCAAGUGCUCACUCUGUGGAAUUCCCAGCAAAGAGAAAGGAACAAUUGGGGGAAAUUUUUGUUAACAUCCUUCCUUUUAACUUUCCGUAGCAGAGGGGAACGCAUCAACGUGGAGCAGAUGUGCUGAGACCAAAUGCUCUCUUCCUCAUGAUUACAGUUGGUUAUACCUGUGGAUAGGCAAGCUAAUUCCACUGCAAAUAUGCAAGAGAGGGUAGUACUAACGUACAAUGUGUGGUCCUGGAGGCUUUGUUGCCAUGUAAUCAGGUGCUUCGUUUCACAAGACCUGGCACGUUGAGAAGAAAACUGAAGCAAAACGGCCCUGUGCAUUCGGAAUUGCAAGCUCUCACUGUACUGCUUAGAGAGUGCCCUAGUUCUCAGCAAUGUUGACAUAAAUGUCGUGGAAUUUCUUAUUUGGAGUUUAAAAGUAAUGAUUCUUUCUACUUAAUCUUCUCAGCAACUCUGUGCCCUAUUGUUUUCCACCAUUUGAAAAUGCCUGAGGAUGUCAUUACAACUACGUGUAUCAAUAUUAAACCUUUACAAACAGUUUA
Equus caballus (horse) is the source of this 4778-nucleotide long non-coding RNA. The record is from Ensembl. Lineage: Eukaryota; Metazoa; Chordata; Mammalia; Perissodactyla; Equidae.